Long non-coding RNA from Callithrix jacchus (white-tufted-ear marmoset), 600 nucleotides. RefSeq lists it as uncharacterized. NCBI's taxonomy places the organism in Eukaryota, Metazoa, Chordata, Mammalia, Primates, Cebidae. The record is from RefSeq and is a predicted model, not a curated record.
CCAGCAUUCAGGGAAAAGUCUUCAUCUCAGGCUCCAUUGAUGGCCAGCAGUUCACAUCUUCUGCCUUUGGUUUUGCCUAGUUGCUAGAAAAGGAAACUGAGGCUAAACAUAAAGUAAUUUGCUCCGGCCUGUCCAUUUGAGGCUCCAGAUUCUAGAGCUCUCAGUCCCAGUCCCCGCUGACUCCAGGUGUGAUGUUGCCAAGAAUGUCCUCUUCUCCCAACCUCUUGCACCGCCAUGCCUUUACUCCAUCAACCUUGUCCUGACAUUUAUUAAACUGGUACAAGCAUUAUCAUGGACCAAAACCCUUCUGUGAGCCUGAAUUAGACUCGGACCUGUCCCAAGGAGCGCACACUCUGGUCUAAGUUUCAUCAUCUGUAAAAUGGGUGCGGUACUAGUACCUACCUCGUGGGAUCAUUGUGGAGAAGUAUGGACCUGGACUGUGGACAUGAAGAACAAUAGCUGGCAUCGUAUUACAGGCUACAUUAAACAUGCUAUCUAAAAAUACAGUAACGGCAUGAGCGUGCCUAAUACUAUGCGUGGCACGUGUUGAUUGGAUCUUAAAACUGUGUGAUUUCAUUGCUAACUGAAACCUUAGCAGAU